RNAcentral lists this ribosomal RNA (1186 nucleotides) under Sternopygus dariensis. RNAcentral's name for it is "partial 16S ribosomal RNA". It matches the Rfam family "Bacterial large subunit ribosomal RNA", at positions 1022 to 2925 of the family's 2925-position model. The record is from RNAcentral. Lineage: Eukaryota; Metazoa; Chordata; Actinopteri; Gymnotiformes; Sternopygidae.
ACAGCCCCUAUGAAACAGGACACAACCUUACCAGGAGGUUAAAGACCACACACACUAAAACAACUGCUCCGGUGGGCCUAAAAGCAGCCACCCGUAUAGAAAGCGUUAAAGCCCAGGCAGAAAAAAGUUCAUUAUUCAGGUAUUUUAUCCAAAACCCCUAACCAUACUAGGCCCCUCCAUGCUAACAUGGAAGAGACCCUGCUAAAAUGAGUAACAAGAAGAAAACUUCUUCUCCCGACCCAAGUGUCAGCUAGAUCGGACCAACCACUAGCAAUUAACGAACCCAACCAAAGAGGGCACUGUGACCUUAACAAAAAACAAGAAAACCCCACAUACAAAUAAUCGUUAACCCCACACUGGAGCGCCAUAAGGAAAGACUAAAAGAAAAGAAAGGAACUCGGCAAACACAAGCCUCGCCUGUUUACCAAAAACAUCGCCUCCCGCAAAACUCAAUGUAUAGGAGGUCCUGCCUGCCCAGUGACUGUUAGUUCAACGGCCGCGGUAUUUUGACCGUGCAAAGGUAGCGCAAUCACUUGUCUUUUAAAUGAAGACCUGUAUGAAUGGCAAAACGAGGGCUUAACUGUCUCCCUUUUCCAGUCAGUGAAAUUGAUCUACCCGUGCAGAAGCGGGUAUAAAAAUACAAGACGAGAAGACCCUUUGGAGCUUAAGACCUAAACCACCUAUGUUAAUAAACUUAAUAAACUAGCUUAAACUAAAUAGCACUGGCCCAAGUCUUCGGUUGGGGUGACCGCGGGGGAAAACAAAGCCCCCACGUGGAAUGGGAAUUAUCCCCUAAAACUAAGAGAGACAUCUCUAAGCCGCAGAACAUCUGACCAAAAAGAUCCGGCUACCCAAAGCCGAUUAACGAACCAAGUUACCCUAGGGAUAACAGCGCAAUCCCCUCCCAGAGUCCCUAUCGACGAGGGGGUUUACGACCUCGAUGUUGGAUCAGGACAUCCUAAUGGUGCAGCCGCUAUUAAGGGUUCGUUUGUUCAACGAUUAAAGUCCUACGUGAUCUGAGUUCAGACCGGAGAAAUCCAGGUCAGUUUCUAUCUGUAACGACAUCUCUCCUAGUACGAAAGGGCCGGAGAGAUGGGGCCAAUACUACAAGCACGCCCUACCCCAACCUAAUGAACCCAACUAAACUAGGUAAAGAGCGAACAACACACAACCCAAGAUAAGAGUU